AUAAAAAUGCUAUUCGUACCAAAGAAAGUAACUGGGAAUCCCUUAAUUUGUUACCGAGGAAUGAAAUUACAUAUUUAAGCACUUUAAGUGUGAGUUAUUGUAUUUUUAAUUUACCUCGGAACUACGUUUCGAGGUUUUAUUCUGAUUAC
Spiroplasma apis B31 is the source of this 149-nucleotide regulatory RNA element. It matches the Rfam family "Ribosomal protein L10 leader". Rfam says of the family: This family is a putative r-protein leader autoregulatory structure found in B. subtilis and other low-GC Gram-positive bacteria. NCBI's taxonomy places the organism in Bacteria, Bacillati, Mycoplasmatota, Mollicutes, Entomoplasmatales, Spiroplasmataceae. The record is from Rfam.